Molecule: long non-coding RNA, 2130 nt
Filed under: Volvox carteri
Lineage: Eukaryota; Viridiplantae; Chlorophyta; Chlorophyceae; Chlamydomonadales; Volvocaceae
Description: long non-coding RNA (VCAR_LNC000057)
Source: RNAcentral
GAGCACUUAAUCAACAUGCAAAGGUAAGGUGCGAAACGGGUAGGUACUUGUAGACGUUAGUAAUCGGGGCACCACUGGAGGAGUAGCGCAGUGCUUCACAAAGAAGCGCUUCCGAGUAGAAAGUGAACUAGGUCGAGGCUUGCUGGAUAACGUUUGACGCUUUUGCCCCCAAGCCGUGGAUCGAGCCGUGGAUGGAGAAAUUCCUGAGAGUCCUUGGGCCGCUGAGAAAUUGCGCCUCAUCCUAAAGCAAACAUUUACAUUUAUAUUUUGCAACAUAUGAAGCUAGACGCAGCCCAAGACACGUGCUAGGCCGUUCCCGACGACAGCCGUAGCGAAGGAAAUAACCGGUCGCGAGGAGGAUUUGAAUGCAUGCGGUAAGUCCGAUUAUUUUACUAUUUCUUUCUUUGCGUAAAAGAGUUAGUACCGCUUGACGUUAAAGUGCUGUUGUCAUCCGUGCGCUUGUGUGCAUGAGUUUGGGCUCUUUCGGAGCGAUGACGUCGGUGGGGUGCAGUCGGUGGGGUGCAGUCGGAGGGGUGCAGUCGGAGAGGUGCAGAGCGGUGCCCCAUCCUCACAUCCUGGGUGACCCCCAUUUUCUAUCCUCGAGUCAACACCUCGCAUCCUGGUGACUGCAUCCCCCUCCUCCGCCAUCCUCAUCCUUGGUGGGUUGGCAUCGACCCUCCACAUUUGCCGCCAUCCUGGGCCCCCUGCCAUCUUUUGUCCUGGGUGGGGCCCCACAUUUUUAUCCUAUUCGUUCCCAUCCGUAUCCUAUGCCCGACUCUCUGCCGCAUCCUGACCGCGCUGUCAACCUCCUGUCCAGUAGAGGUCCAGUCGGUCGUCUGUCGUCCUUUACGGAACAUGGUUCUGGAGCGCCUGCAAUCAACUUAGGCAAUUGGAAGUCAAUAUAUGAGCGCAAAUAGCUCAUUAUCUCUCUCUCUUGUAUAUGAAAGUGUGCCUGUAACAUUUUGGAGAUUCUCAGAGCCGGACUGCUUCGCUGUGUCGCCGUCAAAGCCUGCCAGCCAACGAUUGCCGACCCGCUAUUGUCACAAGCCAAUUUACAAAUAGCACCAUUGCUCACGGAAAGAACCGCGACACGAUAAGCUUCUGCCAGCUACCCUCUCCAGCUGAAAUGCUAAGAUGUUGACCAAUUGCGCAACAUCAAACAAUCAAGCAAUGCCGCGUGAAUACAUCACGUGCAUACUUACUUAACCAAGUCUCGAGCUGUUUCUGCGCUUGCUGGUCCUCCACAGCUGGUAAUGUUAACGCCCGCGACCCCGAUCACGAAAUCCUUUUAAUUAUAUCGAAGUUCUAAUGAUUUUUAUCUGGUUAUCUCGCAUAGAUUCCUUUACUAAGUAUGGCUUUGAAGGCCGGCGGUUGAAACGCUUCACGCUAAGGCAAGGAUUGUACAAGGAAACUAAGAUUGAAACAAACUCAAAACAAUUCUACCAUUACUCGGGGCACAGGCUUUACUGCAGAUAGGGGCGGAGCCGCCUGGGGUUGGUACCCGUCUGCCUUCCUGCUUGCGUCUCGGCGCGUCGCUAUCUGCCUGGAUGCCUGCGUAUGCAGGCAAACAGUAUUACAUCUGACAAAACUGCAGCUUGAUAUUGAAAACCUUAUCAUAGACUUGAUAUUUUGGAGGAUGAUCUUGCAAGCCGGCGUAAAGUGAUUCGCGAUGAAAGCUUUGUUCAGAUUUGUGAAGGCACGGUUGUCAAAUGUAAGGCUCACCAUGGCUGGGAGCUUAUCACGUCGACUAUUCAACCUAGAUUCACCAUAAAUUAAACUCUGACUGCGCCGUUGCUAAAGUCGUUGCAUAUCUGAAACCCGGUGUUAUGGCGUCUUUCAAUUUAGAUCUCCUGCCUCUCCUUUAAUAUUGGUAUCUCAAAUAAAAUUAGGAUAUCUUAAUUACACUUGCAAAUCUAAACGUGCGUGGUCACCACAUUUCGGGUGCAAUUGGCUACGUCGAUGUGGGCAUCAUGGAAGCGCUUGCUUCAUAACGAGUAACGUAAUUACGCAUUAAGAUUUUGCUCCGUAAGAUCCUUAGUUUUCUUAAAGCAGCACGUUUUCCAAGUCAGACUUUGCUCUAACUGCUCUGUUUCCGCCGCGUCGGACAUCCGUAACGAUAACUCGUUACGG